GGGAGAGAGCCCCGAGAAAUCGGGAUUAAUACCCCAUAACAUUACGAAUUGGCAUCAAUUNGUGAUUAAAGCUCCGGCGGUUAGAGAUGGGCAUGCGUGACAUUAGCUGGUUGGUGAGGUAACGGCUCACCAAGGCAACGAUGUCUAGGGGUCCUGAGAGGGUUAUCCCCCACACUGGUACUGAGACACGGACCAGACUCCUACGGGAGGCAGCAGUAAGGAAUAUUGGUCAAUGGGCGCAGGCCUGAACCAUCCAUGCCGCGUGCAGGAAGACGGCCCUAUGGGUUGUAAACUGCUUUUAUCAGGGAAUAAACCCCCGCUC
Molecule: ribosomal RNA, 322 nt
Filed under: uncultured bacterium
Lineage: Bacteria
Description: bacterial SSU rRNA
Rfam family: Bacterial small subunit ribosomal RNA
Source: RNAcentral